GACGAACGCUGGCGGCGUGCUUAACACAUGCAAGUCGAACGAAGUGGCGAACGGGUGAGUAACGCGUAAUCAACCUGCCCUUCAGAGGGGGACAACAGUUGGAACCGACUGCUAAUACCGCAUAAUGAAGUAGGGGUUUGCGUGUGAUUAGCUAGUUGGAGGGGUAACGGCCCAACAAGGCGAUGAUCAGUAGCCCGUCUGAGGGGGUGGACGGACACAGGGGCACUGAGACAGGGCCCAGACACCUACGGGAGGCAGCAGUGGGGAAUCAUCCGCAAUGGAGGAAAGUCUGACGGAGCAACGCCGCGUGAGUGAUGACGGCCUUCGGGUUGGAAAGCUCUGUUAAUCGGGACGCGGUACCGGAAUAGAAAGCCACGGCUAACUACGUGCCAGCAGCCGCGGUAAUAC
This 408-nucleotide ribosomal RNA is filed under the name uncultured bacterium. RNAcentral's name for it is "partial 16S ribosomal RNA". It matches the Rfam family "Bacterial small subunit ribosomal RNA", at positions 28 to 526 of the family's 1533-position model. The record is from RNAcentral.